Molecule: unclassified non-coding RNA, 254 nt
Filed under: plant metagenome
Description: partial contains small subunit ribosomal RNA and internal transcribed spacer 1
Rfam family: Eukaryotic small subunit ribosomal RNA (bases 1-46)
Source: RNAcentral
AAGUCGUAACAAGGUUUCCGUAGGUGAACCUGCGGAAGGAUCAUUACCGAGUUAGGGCCCUCGUUGGCCCGACCCCUCCAACCCCCUUGUUUAAUUAUACCAUUUGUUGCUUCGGCGGGCCGGUCUACCCAGACCGCCGAGGGUGCACACCGCCCCUCUGGAGAGUUUUGCCCGCCGAUGGCCCCCUUCAAAAUCUUGAACCCAACCGUGACGCCCUAAAUUGAUUUAUUUGUAUAAUGUACAAAAAAACAAAA